RNAcentral lists this ribosomal RNA (429 nucleotides) under Actinomycetes bacterium. RNAcentral's name for it is "Actinobacteria bacterium partial 16S ribosomal RNA". It matches the Rfam family "Bacterial small subunit ribosomal RNA", at positions 355 to 776 of the family's 1533-position model. Lineage: Bacteria; Bacillati; Actinomycetota; Actinomycetes. The record is from RNAcentral.
UAGGGAAUCUUCCGCAAUGGGCGAAAGCUUGACGGAGCAACGCCGCGUGAGUGAUGAAUGUCUUCGGAUCGUAAAACUCUGUUAUUAGGGAAGAACAAAUGUGUAAGUAACUAUGCACGUCUUGACGGUACCUAAUCAGAAAGCCACGGCUAACUACGCUCCAGCAGCCGCGGUAAUACGUAGGUGGCAAGCGUUAUCCGGAAUUAUUGGGCGUAAAGCGCGCGUAGGCGGUUUUUUAAGUCGGAUGUGAAAGCCAACGGCUAAACCGUAGAGGGUUAUUGGAAACUGGAAAACUUGAGUGCAGAAGAGGAAAGUGGAAUUCCAUGUGUAGCGGUGAAAUGAGCAAAGAUAUGGAGGAACACCAGUGGCGAAGGCGACUUUCUGGUCUAUAACUGACGCAGAUGUGCGAAAGCGUGGGGAUCAAACAGG